CAUUUGUAUGCUUCAAUACGAAC
RNAcentral lists this small nuclear RNA (23 nucleotides) under Arabidopsis thaliana (thale cress). RNAcentral's name for it is "snRNA_03550". Lineage: Eukaryota; Viridiplantae; Streptophyta; Magnoliopsida; Brassicales; Brassicaceae. The record is from RNAcentral.